UGCAUGGCUGAUCUCAUAUUUACCUGCUCUUGUAGGAAGGCGGAAAUCUUGAGCAAAGAUACACACAGGAGGAAGUGACACAGGGACACAGCCUGGAGGAUGGCUUGGGGCAUUCCUCUCUCUGGAGGUAAGGGUGGUCUGGAUUCCAGCUUAGUUAGCAACCAAGAACCUGGGGGUGGGGGCCACGGGAAAAAAGUGACUGAGAGAGAUCGAAGCUACUCAUUCUUAGAUUGCUUAACUCACAGACACCAUCAGGAUCACUGCAUGUUACUACAUAAGCAUGUGUAUUUUAUAGAAUUAACUGAAUGUCAGCCCAUGACUUAGACAAGCCCAUCAGUGCCUGCUGGGACAACAUUAAGAAAAGAAUAGCAAAGGCAAUAACAGUAAAUGGCUAACAUUGAUUGAGCACUUCUAUGAUGAACAAUGGACCUUGUACAUUUUUGUAGACACAAAAUUUCAUCCUUUUGUUAGCAGUUUAACAGUCACUAAUGUAAAUUCUAUGGUCAGUCUGCUUAGAGCCAUAGCUGAACUCGGCCCAGGAGUGUCCUGGUUCGUUUGUUUUGUUUUGUUUUUCUUGUUUGGGUUUGGAUCUUUGCUUUUCUCUUCUUUUUCUUUCUUCUCUUUGCUUUUUGAUAAAAUGUUACUACAUAGUUAUAGCUGGCUUGGUACUCAUUUAUAAGCUAGGGUGCCUCGUUGGAUUUACUGGUAUGCUCUUGCUUCAAACUCCUGAGGGCUGGGAUUAAAUUCUUGCUGUUAAGUACAUGAGUGGAAUUUCAUGCUGGUCUAGUGUUACACACCUGUCAACUCUGUACCUUGAAGGCUGAUACAGGAAGAUGAGUUCUGGUCUUAAUGAGUGUAAGAAUAGCCUGGGAAGUAUAGUAAGAUGCUCUUUCACCCCCCCCCCCAUCAAAGUUGCUUUUUCUUCUUUAAGCACAAUUUAGACAUGAAUGUUAUUGAUAUUUUUUGCUUACCUGCCAAGGAUGAUUGCCACUUGGCACACUAGUGUGCUGAUCUGAGACCUCCACCAUCACACAGCAGGACUGAUGAUCCUCAAGGCCUUGAACUCUUUAUUUAAUGUAUGUGAGUGCACUGUCACUUCUUCAGACACAACAGAAGAUGAUAUCAGAUCUCAUUAUAGAUGAGUGUGAGUCACUAUGUGUUUUCUGGGAAUUGAACUCAGGACGUUUGGAAGAGUAAUCAGUGCUCUUAACCACUGAGCCAUCUCUCCAACCCAUGCUUGCACUCUUUAAAUUCUAGUUGAGCUUUCCAUUUCCCACUCAGGCUUAAUCUCUCCUUCUGAAGAUGCUGUGCUUGUCAUCCACUGGGAUAGGUGUGGGACUUAAGCCCUCAUUCUCCUGUUCCUCUGUUAUUCAAAUAGCACCUAUAAUUUUCCUUGCAAAAGAAAUAAACCCAAGGGCUCAGGCUGAAAUGGGCAUGGGGCAUAGUCAUGAGAGAGAAUAGCUUUCCUUGGAAGACUCCACUGCCUGUCAGAAACAAAUGCUACCUCCAAUUUCAGGAGAGAUAAGUUCUGGAGGAAGAAGCUGAGGGUAGGUUAGAAAACCCACUAUGUAGGUUCUUCAUGUCUGCCUGUCCAUCUACUUAUUUAUGUAUCUAUAUAUCAAUGUAUCUAUGUGUUUAUUUAUGUAUUUAUCUAUGUAUCUAGUAUCUAUGUAUCUAUGUAUUUAUUUAUAUAUGUAUCUAUUAUUUAUGUACCUAUGUAUUUAUGUAUAUAUCUAUUGAUGUAUAUAUGUAUCUAUCAUCUAUUUAUCUAUGUAUCUAUCUAUUCAUCUAUCACCUAUCUAUCUAUCUAUCUAUCUAUCUAUCUAUCUAUCUAUCUAUCUAUCUAUUGGGACAUUCUUAUUCUGUCACUCAGGCUGGCCUCAAAACUCUUCUGGGCUCAGCUGGGCAUACAGCUGUGAAUCAUCUCACCUAGCUUGGUGCUUUGUUUCUUUAGAUUUUUGGUAUUGCUUCUCCACAACACAGUAAAGAUCAAAUACUGGCUAUCUUCUGUGAGGGCUGUAUCAAGCAAGGAUGUGGGUGUUUUGUGGAGGAAAGUCUUCUCCCAGACAACACAUCUACGGAGACUCGGUAGUGGCUAUGUUCUGGUUUAGGUCCUUUCUCAUUGUAUUUGGAGUGAGAUGCUUUAGAACUAGCUAUUUCCAGCUCCUCAUAGCUAUCACCUCUGAUUUAAACGUGCUGGCCUUCUCUGAUAGACUUUGCCCUGGCUUUCUCCUUUUUUUGGCUUUACACAGUGGUUAUUAGCCUCUGGUUUGUGUGUGAGAUGCAGUUGCCAUUCUCCUUUGGAUGCUGUGUAAAUUUCUCUAUUUGCUAUGCAACAAGAUAAUCCAGCUCUUAGGUUCAAAACCAGUCAUGUAAAAAGAAUAACUCAUUUGAGCUAGCACAGAAUAUCUGUCAGCUGUGAGAGGGCUGUCCUCCCAUAUAGACACUUGGAGGUAGAGGCACAGUGCCAGUGUUCACUCACCUAGCAGUUAAACGUCUCAAUUCACUUUCUACUUAGAGCACUGAUACAAGUGCUCAAACCGUACCAUCAUGUAGGUAAGAGCUUGGUUCUGUUAGCAAGGUGCUGGACCAGGCAAGAUACAGAGUUCACGGACCCUUGUGUGUGUGCUUCUGUGACUGCUUGUUUAGUUUAAAAGGUUGCAUUGUUUUUUCUCUUUUUCUUUUGGAUGUAUAGUCCAUCGUUGUUUUUGUUUUUGGUUUUUUUUUUCUUUUUCAUACUCAGUUCCAACCUGGUUUUCUAGGAUUCCAUUGUUCAUGGGUUUUGCAAAUAUUUAGGUGAUUUCUGAAGUACUUAUUGAACUUCCCAGGAAAUGGUGGUUUGUGGUGAGGAGGUAAAACCCUAAGCCUUUGCUAUCUAUUGUCUCUUAGACUCAUGCAUGUCCCCUCUCCUUUGGAGUGGCUUUGCCUAACAGGUAUGUAUUUGGGCAUAGUUUUAAGCCAGCUUCACCAUGUGAAUCAGGAAACAGGUAGCAUAUAUAUUUUUUUAAAGAUUUAUUUAUUUAUUUAUUAUAUGUAAGUACACUGUAGCUGUAUUCAGACAUACCAGAAGAGGGCAUCAGCUCUCAUUAAGUAUGGUUGUGAGCUACCAUGUGGUUCCUGGGAUUUGAACUCAGGACCUUUGGAAGAGCCGUCAGUGCUCUUAACCUCUGAGCCAUCUCUCCAGCCCCAGGUAGCAUAUUUAAACUAGAAUAACCAGAAGAGAGUUUACUCAUAAAGAGGCCAUUAUGUGCAAAUAAAGUAUAAUGACAGGUGUGUGAAAAUACCAUAAUAAAACCCAAUACUGACCUAAAAAUAGAAUU
RNAcentral lists this long non-coding RNA (3320 nucleotides) under Mus musculus (house mouse). Its description in RNAcentral is "long non-coding RNA chr2:122441724-122445044". Lineage: Eukaryota; Metazoa; Chordata; Mammalia; Rodentia; Muridae. The record is from RNAcentral.